AGAGAGAAGGAUAGUCAGAUUGCGUAGCAGGGUUAGGUGGGUUUCCGUGCUAAGCACAGCAAUUGCGCACGGUCCCUUACGUAACUGUCAGCUGGGGAUUCCCUAGAGGGGGUCACUGUAUUCAACCAUUACACAGACCCCUGCCGCCGUUCCAACGCGCCUGGGCUGCCGUUGCCGCAGCUACUGAGGCUGCGGCUGCAGCUACAACGGCGGCUCCUCACAAAAUGGCGGCGCCCAUGGAAGCGGCAGCAGCCCCAUUUUGUGCCCACAGAGCUGUCAACAAAACACGGGACUUGGCCGGGGCAGAGACCCAGAAGGCGGCGGCGGCGAAGCAACGUUAUGGGUAGCGAGGGACUUCACCAGCCCCCCGCCCCCGAGAAGAGACUUUCUAUAAAGCGUGCGCGCAUUGCGCGGGGGAGGCGAGCAGCGGGCGAAGCGGCGAUUUGAGUGCUGGGACCAGCCGGCAGCGAGAGCUCUGCGGGGACCUUCCGGAGCUGCGGCUCCGUGGUCGGGGCGAUGGUCCUGCCGGUGCGAUCCGGGAUGCUCGGCAGCAAGGCGCUGCCCUGAUCUCGCCGGCGGGGCCGGGGAGGUUCCCCGUGGGGGAUAGGUCUCGGGCACUGGGUGUGCACUGCGAGCGGCAGUGGGGAUGGGAGCGGAUUUGCUGUCUCCUCCUGGAGACCUUGUUCCGGGCUCGCUCCUUGCUCUUAAAUCUCUCCACUCUUGAGCUGGUGGUUGGCAGCCCAGUUUAUGUAACUUUAUUGCUGUAGGAAUCUAGCAAACCUGCAAGGAGCUGCAGGAAGAUCUGGGUUCUUAGUUUAGUUAAUUAGGUCAAUUUCAGCACUUAAUUACUGUUUGCUUCUUUUUAGUGCGUGCCUUUGGAAUCGGCCUAUUAGGUUGAUGCUUCAGUUUACAUUAGCUAACAGCAAGCUCCUUACCUUACCUCAAAGGCUGCAUGGAGGGGAGGGGGAAGAGAAGAGCAAAGGGCCCAGAACUGCAGCUGGGAGUUCCUGGGCUUUCACUCCUCAGUCCUAGGAUAUGCCCGGCUCCCAGUGCUUCAAGAAAUGUCUCAGUUGCAAGGAAUCUAUCCCAGUGACUGACGAACACACUCAGUGCGUCCCCUGCCUGGGAGAGAAACACAUCCCACAGAAGUGUGGUUUUUGCCAGCAACUGAAGCCCAGUUCAGAAAGGAUAGAGAACUGAGAUUCAAAUUCCUCUUACUAGAGGCACCCUUCAACUAUCCGAGCUGUACCAAGACCCCAGACAGUGAGAAACCUCACUGCAACUCUACCUUUAAGGGAAGUGAGCCUAAGAAGACAUCUACGAGCCACUCAUACAAGGCCUCUAAGAAAAUUGCUGUGAGUUCCCACAGUGAGUCCCGAUCAAGCUGAAAGGAGUCAUCGGUACUUACUGGGCAUGAGAGACAUAGAGAAUCCUCCCCAGGAAAGGCUCCUGUGGCACGGACAUUGACAUCGUUACUGCCUGCGGCACACCAGGUACUGACAGACCAUACCCUCAGGUCGGUAUCACUGACUCCUUAGGAACAGACAUCUCAUGACUGACGAUCACUUCCGGUACCAACACCUUGGGCACUGCUGGACCUCCGGUACGCAACAGACCUUUUGGUGUCUGAUAACACCGGAUUCACCUCUGCUCAGUGCCAGGGCCCCCGUACUGAGUUCAUCUAGUGUUCCUGACUCAUACUGUGCACCACCUUCUUCAUCCAUUGAGUCAGAUAGUGAGCAAGAGGACGUGGUUUCCUGCUGUUUUUCUCACCCUCCAUAUGGUGCCCAGUUCCACUAUGGACCACAACCAUACCAUCCAUCUGAUCCUCAGCCUCCCGGUAUGGGCAGCCAUGGUACCAAUCAUCGGGCUCCUUCUCUUCCCACCUUCUGAAUGGUCCUACUGCAGGGGUCUCAAACUCCUGGCCUGUGGGCCCUCUGUGGCCCAUGAGCCUCCCCAAUGUGGCCCAUGGGGCUCCAGCAGUUUUGGGGGUGGGUUUCUCCCUUGGCCCCACCUGCCGCCCCCAGGCUCUCCCCCCUCAGGGGCCCCAGUCCCCGGCAGCACAGCAGAGCUGAGCAGCAUCUGCCUGCUCACUCCAGUGGCUGCCGGCCCCUCCCUGCAGCCCAGGGGUGGGGCAGGGCUGUGCCUCCAUGUGUUGCCCCCGCCCCGAGCGCCCCUGCGGCCAAUGGGACGCGUGGAGGUGGUGCCUGGGGGCAGAAGGGUGUGGAGGCCCCCCAGCCCGCCCCACCUUGGAGCCCAAGGUAAGCGUUGCACCCCCUAACCCCCUCCCAGAGCCUGC
This is a long non-coding RNA of Mauremys mutica (yellowpond turtle), 2299 nucleotides long. RefSeq lists it as uncharacterized. NCBI's taxonomy places the organism in Eukaryota, Metazoa, Chordata, Testudines, Geoemydidae. The transcript has 3 exons. The record is from RefSeq and is a predicted model, not a curated record.